AUGAAUGGUUUGGAAUUUAAGAUGGCAUCCAACUCAUCCAAGGUCAUGUAUGAUGCUUACACUCUAUUUGGUGAUCCUACUCCAACAAACAAGCAGUACAAUUCAGUCAAGAUUUUUAGCAAUCCCGAUAUUGCUACUGGAAAAACAUGGUAUGGUAUUGAGCAAAAGCUCAGCCUUUUGCAAAAGGGAUGUUAAGUGGCCCAUUGAAUGGCCUCAAGGAGGUUAUCCCGAACCUCAAGUAUAACACUAUAAUGUACAAAAUAUUAGCUGUUUAUUGUCUUUAUAUUGACAAAAAAUUCUAAUUUCAAGUCCU
Molecule: long non-coding RNA, 313 nt
Organism: Olea europaea var. sylvestris
Lineage: Eukaryota; Viridiplantae; Streptophyta; Magnoliopsida; Lamiales; Oleaceae
Exons: 3
Source: RefSeq, a predicted model, not a curated record